This 253-nucleotide ribosomal RNA is filed under the name uncultured bacterium. RNAcentral's name for it is "partial 16S ribosomal RNA". It matches the Rfam family "Bacterial small subunit ribosomal RNA", at positions 524 to 776 of the family's 1533-position model. The record is from RNAcentral.
UACAGAGGGUGCAAGCGUUGUUCGGAAUCAUUGGGCGUAAAGGGCGUGUAGGCGGUUUGUUAAGUCAUGUGUGAAAUCCCUCGGCUCAACCGGGGAACGACGCAUGAAACUGGCAAGCUAGAGUACCAAAGAGGGGGGUGGAAUUCCCGGUGUAGCAGUGAAAUGCGUAGAUAUCGGGAGGAAUACCGAUGGCGAAGGCAGGUCUCUGGGCUGACACUGACGCUCAUGCACGAAAGCGUGGGGAGCAAACAGG